This 433-nucleotide ribosomal RNA is filed under the name uncultured bacterium. Its description in RNAcentral is "partial 16S ribosomal RNA". It matches the Rfam family "Bacterial small subunit ribosomal RNA", at positions 29 to 507 of the family's 1533-position model. The record is from RNAcentral.
AACGAACGCUGGCGGCAUGCCUAACACAUGCAAGUCGAACGAGACCUUCGGGUCUAGUGGCGCACGGGUGCGUAACGCGUGGGAACCUGCCCUUAGGUUCGGAAUAACUCCCCGAAAGGGGUGCUAAUACCGGAUAAUGUCUUCGGACCAAAGAGUUAUCGCCUUUGGAUGGGCCCGCGUUGGAUUAGCUAGUUGGUAGUGUAAAAGCCGACCAACGCGAGGAUCCAGAGCUGGUCUGAGAGGAUGAUCAGCCACACUUGGACUGAGACACGGCCCAGACUCCUAGGGAGGGGAGCAGUGGGGUAUAUUGGACAAUGGGCGAAAGCGUGAUACAGCAAUGCGGGGUGAGUGAUGCAGGCCUUAGGGUUGUAAAGCUCUUUUACCCGGGAUGAUAAUGACAGUACCGGGAGAAUAAGCACCGGCUAACUCCGUG